CGAGGAAGUGUGCCCGAGCACCUCAAGGGAUACUUUGAUAGAGUACACCACAGGGGUUAAAAUCCCCUCACUUCC
RNAcentral lists this transfer RNA (75 nucleotides) under Brachymeles samarensis. Its description in RNAcentral is "tRNA-Xle". The record is from RNAcentral. Lineage: Eukaryota; Metazoa; Chordata; Lepidosauria; Squamata; Scincidae.